This 73-nucleotide transfer RNA is filed under the name hydrothermal vent metagenome. RNAcentral's name for it is "tRNA-Pseudo-CCT". It matches the Rfam family "tRNA". From Rfam's summary of the family: Transfer RNA (tRNA) molecules are approximately 80 nucleotides in length. Their secondary structure includes four short double-helical elements and three loops (D, anti-codon, and T loops). The record is from RNAcentral.
CUCCUUAUCUCUUAACUGGAUAAAGUAGUUCCCUCCUAAGGGACAACUUGAGGUUCGAGUCCUCAUAGGGAGA